This 253-nucleotide ribosomal RNA is filed under the name uncultured bacterium. RNAcentral describes it as "partial 16S ribosomal RNA". It matches the Rfam family "Bacterial small subunit ribosomal RNA", at positions 524 to 776 of the family's 1533-position model. The record is from RNAcentral.
UACGUAGGGUGCAAGCGUUGUCCGGAAUUAUUGGGCGUAAAGAGCUCGUAGGCGGUCUGUCGCGUCGGCUGUGAAAACCCGGGGCUCAACCCCGGGCCUGCAGUCGAUACGGGCAGACUAGAGUGCGGUAGGGGAGACUGGAAUUCCUGGUGUAGCGGUGAAAUGCGCAGAUAUCAGGAGGAACACCGGUGGCGAAGGCGGGUCUCUGGGCCAUUACUGACGCUGAGGAGCGAAAGCGUGGGGAGCGAACAGG